AGAGUUUGAUCCUGGCUCAGAGCGACGUUAGCGGCGGGCUUAACACAUGCAAGUCGAGCGAGAAAGUGGCUUCGGCCAUCAGUAAAGCGGCGGACGGGUGAGUAACACGUAGGUAAUCUUCCCUUGAGCGGGGACAACGAGCCGAAAGGCUCGCUAAUACCGCAUAAGGUUCCCAGGGUCCUCGGGGCCUUGGGAGGAAAGCUAGGUAGCAAUAUCCGGCACUCGAGGAGGAGCCUGCGUCGCAUCAGCUAGUUGGUGGGGUAAUGGCCUACCAAGGCGAAGACGCGUAGCUGGUCUGAGAGGAUGAUCAGCCACACUGAAACUGAGACACGGUUCAGACUCCUACGGGAGGCAGCAGUGGGGAAUAUUGGACAAUGGGCGCAAGCCUGAUCCAGCCACGCCGCGUGAGUGAUGAAGGCCUUCGGGUCGUAAAGCUCUGUGGGGAGGGACGAACCGCCGGCGGUUAAUACCCGACGGCAUGACGGUACCCCCUUAGCAAGCACCGGCUAACUUCGUG
RNAcentral lists this ribosomal RNA (517 nucleotides) under uncultured bacterium. RNAcentral describes it as "bacterial SSU rRNA". It matches the Rfam family "Bacterial small subunit ribosomal RNA", at positions 8 to 507 of the family's 1533-position model. The record is from RNAcentral.